UGAAGAAAGAAAUGAGUGUACGAGGCACCGACAGUGUCCGGACAAGAAGAGAUGCUGCUUCUUCAGCUGUGGGAAGAAGUGCAUGGACCUCCGGGAAGACAUAUGCAGUCUGCCACAGGAUGCUGGCCCCUGCCUGGCCUACCUCCCACGCUGGUGGUAUAAUGAAGAUACUGGCCUCUGUACCCAAUUCAUCUAUGGUGGUUGCCAAGGGAACCCCAACAACUUCCAAUCUGAAGGUAUCUGCACAGUUGUCUGCAAAAAGAAACAAAUGUCUUCCUGGAUAUGACAAGGAUGAGCUGGAAGAAACUCCAGGUCUUGGCUCCUAAUCUGAGGCUUUCUUCCCGUGAGCCCAGCACAUGCUCUGGAUUGGCUGCCAGCGGCCAAGUCUUAGCCACUGAGACUUUGGCUGUUCCCAAACCAGAACCCCAGAAUCUGCUUAUUCCCUUCCCACAAACCCAGCUGCUCCUCAGACAUCAUGAUCUUCGACCUUUGACCCCCUCUCCGUCUGGGACCCUAUCACCUCAACUUUCAGGGUUCAAAUUUAUUCCUGUGUAGACUCUACUUCCUCCUAGUAAAGGAUCCUGUGAGUCCUGAUGUCUCAGAGUCUGAAUAUCUCAUCUGCUGUCUGCAGGUGUUCAUAUCAGCUCACAGUUCUCUAUGUACACAACUGUCCAUUGUCCUGUGUAUUUCAAGGAUAACGCUCGGCUCCAGUCACCCUAGGAAACAGAUCGUUCAGCCAGUGGAAGGGGGAUGGGAUCCUUUCCACAUCCUCUGGCAAACAGGGAAACCAGAAAAAGCGUGAGUGCUGGGCUCAAUGCAACCGUGUCUUCUGAUUGCCACUUCAUACCUGUAUGCAGAUGUUCACAUAUGUUCAUAUCCCUCUGUAUACAUAUUUGCAUGUUAUAUAGAGGCAAGCUAUAAGGAUUACACAUACACACAGAGUCAGAAAUAGUAUAUUCAUUAAAGUUUACGGUUAAAAAUU
RNAcentral lists this long non-coding RNA (982 nucleotides) under Rattus norvegicus (Norway rat). Its description in RNAcentral is "long non-coding RNA NONRATT019938". Lineage: Eukaryota; Metazoa; Chordata; Mammalia; Rodentia; Muridae. The record is from RNAcentral.